This 497-nucleotide ribosomal RNA is filed under the name uncultured bacterium. RNAcentral's name for it is "partial 16S ribosomal RNA". It matches the Rfam family "Bacterial small subunit ribosomal RNA", at positions 28 to 507 of the family's 1533-position model. The record is from RNAcentral.
GAUGAACGCUGGCGGCGUGCCUAAUACAUGCAAGUCGAGUGAACGGACGAGAAGCUUGCUUCUCUGAUGUUAGCGGCGGACGGGUGAGUAACACGUGGAUAACCUACCUAUAAGACUGGGAUAACUUCGGGAAACCGGAGCUAAUACCGGAUAAUAUUUUGAACCGCAUGGUUCAAAAGUGAAAGACGGUCUUGCUGUCACUUAUAGAUGGAUCCGCGCUGCAUUAGCUAGUUGGUAAGGUAACGGCUUACCAAGGCAACGAUGCAUAGCCGACCUGAGAGGGUGAUCGGCCACACUGGAACUGAGACACGGUCCAGACUCCUACGGGAGGCAGCAGUAGGGAAUCUUCCGCAAUGGGCGAAAGCCUGACGGAGCAACGCCGCGUGAGUGGUGAAGGUCUUCGGAUCGUAAAACUCUGUUAUUAGGGAAGAACAUAUGUGUAAGUAACUGUGCACAUCUUGACGGUACCUAAUCAGAAAGCCACGGCUAACUACGUG